AGAGUUUGAUCCUGGCUCAGAACGAACGCUGGCGGCGUGCCUAACACAUGCAAGUCGAACGAGAAAAUUUCCUUCGGGGAAUGAGUAAAGUGGCGCAAGGGUGAGUAACACGUGAGUAAUCUGCCUUCGAAUUUGGGAUGACUUGACGAAAGUUAAGCUAAUACCGGAUAAGACCACGUUUCACAAGAAAUGCGGUCAAAGGGGUCUCAAACCCCGUUUGAAGAUGAGUUCGCGUACCAUUAGCUUGUUGGUGAGAUAACAGCUCACCAAGGCGACGAUGGUUAGCCGGCCUGAGAGGGUGAUCGGCCACACUGGAACUGAGACACGGUCCAGACUCCUACGGGAGGCAGCAGUGGGGAAUUUUGCGCAAUGGGCGAAAGCCUGACGCAGCAACGCCGCGUGAGCGAUGAAGGCCUUCGGGUCGUAAAGCUCUGUCAAGUGGGAAGAACACAAUGACGGUACCACUAGAGGAAGCCCCGGCUAACUUCGUGCCAGCAGCCGCGGUAAUACGAAGGGGGCAAGCGUUGUUCGGAAUUAUUGGGCGUAAAGCGUGUGUAGGUGGUUGUUCAAGUCAGACGUGUAAGCCCUCGGCUCAACCGAGGAAUUGCGUUUGAAACUGAUCGACUUGAGUACAGGAGAGGAAAGCGGAAUUCCCAGUGUAGCGGUGAAAUGCGUUGAUAUUGGGAAGAACACCGGUGGCGAAGGCGGCUUUCUGGCCUGUUACUGACACUGAGAUACGAAAGCUAGGGGAGCAAAGGGGAUUAGAUACCCCCGUAGUCCUAGCCGUAAACGAUGGGCACUAGGUGCGGGGGGUAUUGAUCCCCUCUGUGCCG
RNAcentral lists this ribosomal RNA (833 nucleotides) under uncultured deep-sea bacterium. Its description in RNAcentral is "bacterial SSU rRNA". It matches the Rfam family "Bacterial small subunit ribosomal RNA", at positions 8 to 848 of the family's 1533-position model. The record is from RNAcentral.